AUUGAACGCUGGCGGCAGGCCUAACACAUGCAAGUCGAGCGCGAAAGUCUUUCGGGAUGAGUAAAGCGGCGGACGGGUGAGUAAUGCAUGGGAAUCUGCCUGGUAGUGGGGGGACAACGUUUCGAAAGAGACGCUAAUACCGCAUACGCCCUACGGGGGAAAGGGGGGGAAGUCUUCGGACCUCUCGCUAUCAGAUGAGCCCAUGUCAGAUUAGCUUGUUGGUGAGGUAAAGGCUCACCAAGGCGACGAUCUGUAACUGGUCUGAGAGGAUGAUCAGUCACACUGGAACUGAGACACGGUCCAGACUCCUACGGGAGGCAGCAGUGGGGAAUAUUGGACAAUAGGGGGCAACCCUGAUCCAGCCAUGCCGCGUGAGUGAUGAAGGCCUUA
Molecule: ribosomal RNA, 390 nt
Filed under: uncultured bacterium
Lineage: Bacteria
Description: bacterial SSU rRNA
Rfam family: Bacterial small subunit ribosomal RNA
Source: RNAcentral